Molecule: ribosomal RNA, 406 nt
Filed under: uncultured bacterium
Lineage: Bacteria
Description: partial 16S ribosomal RNA
Rfam family: Bacterial small subunit ribosomal RNA
Source: RNAcentral
AUUGAACGCUGGCGGCAGGCCUAACACAUGCAAGUCGAACGAGUGGCGGACGGGUGAGUAAUGUCUGGGAAACUGCCCGAUGGAGGGGGAUAACUACUGGAAACGGUAGCUAAUACCGCAUACCAUCGGAUGUGCCCAGAUGGGAUUAGCUAGUAGGUGGGGUAACGGCUCACCUAGGCGACGAUCCCUAGCUGGUCUGAGAGGAUGACCAGCCACAAUGGAACUGAGAACCGGUCCAGACUCCUACGGGAGGAAGCAGUGGGGAAUAUUGCACAAUGGGCGGAAGCCUGAUUCAGCCAUGCCGGGUGUAUGAAGAAGGCCUUCGGGUUGUAAAGUACUUUCAGCGAGGAGGCGGUACUCGCAGAAGAAGCACCUGCUAACUCCGUGCCAGCCGCCGCGGUAAUAC